CAGUCGCCGCGGGAAUACGUAGGUGGCAAGCGUUGUCCGGAUUUAUUGGGCGUAAAGCGAGCGCAGGCGGUCAAUUAAGUCUGAUGUGAAAGCCCUCGGCUCAACCGGGGAGGGUCAUUGGAAACUGGUUGACUUGAGUGCAGAAGAGGAGAGUGGAAUUCCAUGUGUAGCGGUGAAAUGCGUAGAUAUAUGGAGGAACACCAGUGGCGAAGGCGACUCUCUGGUCUGUAACUGACGCUGAGGCUCGAAAGCGUGGGUAGCAAACAGGAUUAGAUAACCCCGUAGUCCCUGUCUCUUAUAC
RNAcentral lists this ribosomal RNA (301 nucleotides) under uncultured bacterium. Its description in RNAcentral is "partial 16S ribosomal RNA". It matches the Rfam family "Bacterial small subunit ribosomal RNA", at positions 509 to 807 of the family's 1533-position model. The record is from RNAcentral.